Molecule: small RNA, 799 nt
Filed under: Yarrowia lipolytica
Lineage: Eukaryota; Fungi; Ascomycota; Dipodascomycetes; Dipodascales
Description: eukaryotic LSU rRNA
Rfam family: Eukaryotic large subunit ribosomal RNA (bases 233-799)
Source: RNAcentral
CGUCAUUUUAUCUCAAUUAUAACUAUCAACAACGGAUCUCUUGGCUCUCACAUCGAUGAAGAACGCAGCGAACCGCGAUAUUUUUUGUGACUUGCAGAUGUGAAUCAUCAAUCUUUGAACGCACAUUGCGCGGUAUGGCAUUCCGUACCGCACGGAUGGAGGAGCGUGUUCCCUCUGGGAUCGCAUUGCUUUCUUGAAAUGGAUUUUUUUAAACUCUCAAUUAUUACGUCAUUUCACCUCCUUCAUCCGAGAUUACCCGCUGAACUUAAGCAUAUCAAUAAGCGGAGGAAAAGAAACCAACAGGGAUUGCCUCAGUAACGGCGAGUGAAGCGGCAAAAGCUCAAAUUUGAAACCCUCGGGAUUGUAAUUUGAAGAUUUGGCAUUGGAGAAAGCUAACCCAAGUUGCUUGGAAUAGUACGUCAUAGAGGGUGACAACCCCGUCUGGCUAACCGUUCUCCAUGUAUUGCCUUAUCAAAGAGUCGAGUUGUUUGGGAAUGCAGCUCAAAGUGGGUGGUAAACUCCAUCUAAAGCUAAAUACUGGUGAGAGACCGAUAGCGAACAAGUACUGUGAAGGAAAGGUGAAAAGAACUUUGAAAAGAGAGUGAAAUAGUAUGUGAAAUUGUUGAUAGGGAAGGAAAUGAGUGGAGAGUGGCCGAGGUUUCAGCCGCCCCUCGUGGGCGGUGUACUGCCGACGCCGAGUCAUCGAUAGCGAGACGAGGGUUACAAAUGGGAGCGCCUUCGGGCGUUCUCCCCUAACCCUCCACACUGCCACCGACGACAUAAUCCACCCAUUUCACCC